AGCACCAUCCCUUUUUGCAGGAGUCACCCUCUUUGGUUUCUGAAAUGCGGACACACGUUACAAUGGAAACGAGCACUUGGGGCUCCCUGUCUCGGAAAAGUUGUUGAAUCAAUGCACGUUGAUUGCUUCAGCAAUCUAGGAAAUACUAUGCCCAACAAAGCAAUUUGAAAUUCCAAACCUGUGACCACUGGACAAGAUCACCUUUCUCCCACUGAGAAGAAGAUCAGCGUUGGCUCGGGCCAAGUCUGGGAGACAGACAAGGCCUCCUUUCAACAUCGUGCCUCCAGGGGAACCAGGCCAAGUAUCGGCCCUCCAGAGACAGCUGCAGCCCUUGGAGGCCUCCCCACUGAGUCCACACCCCUGGCCCAGGGCACUCAGGCUAGCUGACCGGC
Molecule: long non-coding RNA, 392 nt
Filed under: Homo sapiens (human)
Lineage: Eukaryota; Metazoa; Chordata; Mammalia; Primates; Hominidae
Description: HSALNT0269604
Source: RNAcentral